UUUCCGCUAGAGCGUCACC
RNAcentral lists this ribosomal RNA (19 nucleotides) under Brittonodoxa subpinnata. RNAcentral's name for it is "Sematophyllum subpinnatum partial 5.8S ribosomal RNA". The record is from RNAcentral. Lineage: Eukaryota; Viridiplantae; Streptophyta; Bryopsida; Hypnales; Sematophyllaceae.